GAUGAACGCUGGCGGCGUGCCUAAUACAUGCAAGUCGAGCGAACAGACGAGGAGCUUGCUCCUCUGACGUUAGCGGCGGACGGGUGAGUAACACGUGGAUAACCUACCUAUAAGACUGGGAUAACUUCGGGAAACCGGAGCUAAUACCGGAUAAUAUAUUGAACCGCAUGGUUCAAUAGUGAAAGACGGUUUUGCUGUCACUUAUAGAUGGAUCCGCGCCGCAUUAGCUAGUUGGUAAGGUAACGGCUUACCAAGGCAACGAUGCGUAGCCGACCUGAGAGGGUGAUCGGCCACACUGGAACUGAGACACGGUCCAGACUCCUACGGGAGGCAGCAGUAGGGAAUCUUCCGCAAUGGGAGAAAGCUUGACGGAGCAACGCCGCGUGAGUGAUGAAGGUCUUCGGAUCGUAAAACUCUGUUAUUAGGGAAGAACAAAUGUGUAAGUAACUAUGCACGUCUUGACGGUACCUAAUCAGAAAGCCACGGCUAACUACGUG
This 497-nucleotide ribosomal RNA is filed under the name uncultured bacterium. RNAcentral's name for it is "partial 16S ribosomal RNA". It matches the Rfam family "Bacterial small subunit ribosomal RNA", at positions 28 to 507 of the family's 1533-position model. The record is from RNAcentral.